GACGAACGCUGGCGGCGUGCCUAAUACAUGCAAGUUGAGCGAUGAAGCUUGGUGCUUGCACCAAUUUGAAGAGCAGCGAACGGGUGAGUAACGCGUGGGGAAUCUGCCUUUGAGCGGGGGACAACAUUUGGAAACGAAUGCUAAUACCGCAUAACAACUUUAAACAUAAGUUUUAAGUUUGAAAGAUGCAAUUGCAUCACUCAAAGAUGAUCCCGCGUUGUAUUAGCUAGUUGGUGAGGUAAAGGCUCACCAAGGCGAUGAUACAUAGCCGACCUGAGAGGGUGAUCGGCCACAUUGGGACUGAGACACGGCCCAAACUCCUACGGGAGGCAGCAGUAGGGAAUCUUCGGCAAUGGACGAAAGUCUGACCGAGCAACGCCGCGUGAGUGAAGAAGGUUGUCGGAUCGUAAAACUCUGUUGGUAGAGAAGAACGUUGGUGAGAGUGGAAAGCUCACCAAGUGACGGUAACUACCCAGAAAGGGACGGCUAACUACGUG
This 497-nucleotide ribosomal RNA is filed under the name uncultured bacterium. RNAcentral describes it as "partial 16S ribosomal RNA". It matches the Rfam family "Bacterial small subunit ribosomal RNA", at positions 28 to 507 of the family's 1533-position model. The record is from RNAcentral.